This 234-nucleotide ribosomal RNA is filed under the name uncultured bacterium. RNAcentral describes it as "partial 16S ribosomal RNA". It matches the Rfam family "Bacterial small subunit ribosomal RNA", at positions 102 to 334 of the family's 1533-position model. The record is from RNAcentral.
CGACGGGUGAGUAACACGUAUCCAACCUGCCGUCUACUCUUGGACAGCCUUCUGAAAGGAAGAUUAAUACAAGAUGGCAUCAUGAGUCCACAUGUUCACAUGAUUAAAGGUAUUCCGGUAGACGAUGGGGAUGCGUUCCAUUAGAUAGUAGGCGGGGUAACGGCCCACCUAGUCUUCGAUGGAUAGGGGUUCUGAGAGGAAGGUCCCCCACAUUGGAACUGAGACACGGUCCAA